CAUGCAAGUCGAACGGCAGCACGGAGCUUGCUCUGGUGGCGAGUGGCGAACGGGUGAGUAAUAUAUCGGAACGUACCCUGGAGUGGGGGAUAACGUAGCGAAAGUUACGCUAAUACCGCAUACGAUCUACGGAUGAAAGUGGGGGAUCGCAAGACCUCAUGCUCGUGGAGCGGCCGAUAUCUGAUUAGCUAGUUGGUAGGGUAAAAGCCUACCAAGGCAUCGAUCAGUAGCUGGUCUGAGAGGACGACCAGCCACACUGGAACUGAGACACGGUCCAGACUCCUACGGGAGGCAGCAGUGGGGAAUUUUGGACAAUGGGCGAAAGCCUGAUCCAGCAAUGCCGCGUGAGUGAAGAAGGCCUUCGGGUUGUAAAGCUCUUUUGUCAGGGAAGAAACGGUGAGGGCUAAUAUCCCUUGCUAAUGACGGU
This 427-nucleotide ribosomal RNA is filed under the name uncultured Janthinobacterium sp. Its description in RNAcentral is "bacterial SSU rRNA". It matches the Rfam family "Bacterial small subunit ribosomal RNA", at positions 54 to 476 of the family's 1533-position model. Lineage: Bacteria; Pseudomonadati; Pseudomonadota; Betaproteobacteria; Burkholderiales; Oxalobacteraceae. The record is from RNAcentral.